GCGGUCGUGGCGAAACUGGCAGACGCGCUAGGUUGAGGGCCUAGUGGCCGUUAAGGCUGUGCGGGUUCAAAUCCCGCCGACCGCA
RNAcentral lists this transfer RNA (85 nucleotides) under Ardenticatenales bacterium. RNAcentral describes it as "tRNA-Leu". It matches the Rfam family "tRNA". From Rfam's summary of the family: Transfer RNA (tRNA) molecules are approximately 80 nucleotides in length. Their secondary structure includes four short double-helical elements and three loops (D, anti-codon, and T loops). Lineage: Bacteria; Bacillati; Chloroflexota; Ardenticatenia; Ardenticatenales. RNAcentral also lists the same sequence under 1 other name. The record is from RNAcentral.